CACAAUGCCAGUGAUAAGACCUUCCAAUCCAGUAACAAACAAGAAGCCAUGAGUAGACUUUACAUUUUUAUUCUUAAAGAUGUUUAAUUUCACCUAUGACUUUUUUCUUGUAUGCUGAUUUUUAGCGGGCCAACAGCAUCAUCGACAUUUGCAGUGCCCUCCAUAAUUAUUAACAAUCCUGGUUAAGAUGUGAAAACUAAUAUUUGCACCUUUUGUGAAGUUGUUUUGGAGUAAUUAUGAAAAGUGCUAUACAAAUAAAAUUUUAUUGGAUUAUCAUUAUUAGGAAGUGUUUAUUUAGUUAUUUCCUAGGGACACUUUUGGUCUUGGAGUAAAUUACCAUUUUUCCGUUAGGCGGCGGUAUAAACUAGCAGUGUGUCGUUCGCCAAAAACGUGCUAAAGAAAAAAUUCCCGCCGAGAUUCUCGCAUGCUUCGGGGAUUCGCAGUAUCGUAGUUGCAUUUGUUGUGGGCAUUGUUAAUGUUUUCAAACACCUAAAGGCUGACUAGUUUGAGGUACAUCCGUUAUCUUCAACCAGAAUGAAGGCAGUGUUUCAUCUUUGUGGCCCUCGCAUAUGAGCUUAUGUAGAAUUUGAAUUUUCCAUAAGCUGUUUGUCUGUCUACUUGGAUUCACUCAGGGUUUCAAGAUGGCUCUCAAAAAGGAGUGUACUACAAGGUGCAGGCGAAAAUCAUCGCUUAUGCUGUUAGAUAGUAGAUUAACGAAACCCUUGAAGGUUUCUUGAGGGCCGCUGUGGUGCUGAGUUUAGCUCUAACUUGCUUCAACACACCUGCCCUGGGGUUUCUAGUAUAUCUAGUAAGAACUUGAUUAGCUGCUUCAGGUGUGUUUGAUUAGGGUGACCCGAGUUUGGACACCCCUGCAUUAGAGGGAGAGUAAAUAGAUGGCCUGAUGCCUGUAGUCAGUUGGAUGAUUAUAUACACUAGAUGCCUUGAUUCUGCAUGAAUGGGGGAUUAACCACUAGAAGGUCCAUUCAAAGGAUUCUAGAAAUUGUACCAAUUCCAGUCUGGAUCCAGCCUACCUGGUGAACACCACAGAAGACAUCAAAGCUAAUGAGUUUAGAUAACUAGAACUGGACAAACAGAGUUGGCAAAAAUCAAAGCAAACACCACUACAUUACUAUAUUAUUAUUAAAACAAUAAAAAUAUAAAAGAGAUAGAUGGACUUGGUGAGAUUUACCUGUUUUGUGAUGAUUUUGUUUAGCUGUAGAUUUAAAUAUCCAUUGAGGAAAAAUAUUUGCACCAUUAAGAACUGAUCAUAUUGAUCUCUGUUGCUAUCUUAUGGCGGAACAAUGUAACGCCAAACUGCCAAAGAAUUUCCAUUAAAUAUUACUACAAUUUAUAAUCAAAUGUCAUUUGUUGAACAACAACAUGUAACAAACAAGAAUAUAAAGAUGCCAAAUAAAUAAGUCAAAUUGUUAAUGGAUGGCAACAUUUUGUCUGUUUAACUGAGCACAAUGCUUUUUAUGCAUCUGACUCCGCAACAGGAGAGUCAUAACACUUAUUAAAACAUGCUUAAAUCUA
Danio rerio (zebrafish) is the source of this 1533-nucleotide non-coding RNA. The record is from RefSeq and is a predicted model, not a curated record. Lineage: Eukaryota; Metazoa; Chordata; Actinopteri; Cypriniformes; Danionidae.